AGCUCCAGUAGCGUAUAUUAAUGUUGCUGCAGUUAAAAAGCUCGUAGUUGGAUUUCUGGUAUGAUUCACUUAGCCCGCUCGAAAGAGUUGAGUGCUUGAGUGCAUCUACCAUCCUUCGUGUAAAUCUUCUCUGCCGAAAGGUUUGAGUUGUAUGAGCACGAUCUUUUACUUUGAAAAAAUUAGAGUGUUUAAAGCAGGCUUACGCUUAUGAAUACAUUAGCAUGGAAUAAUAAUAUAGGGCUUCGGUUUUAUUUUGUUGGUUCUAGAAACUGAAGUAAUGAUUGAUAGGGAUAGUUGGGGGUGCUUGUAUUUCAAGGUCAGAGGUGAAAUUCUUGGAUUCUUGAAAGACAAACUUAUGCGAAAGCAUUCACCAAGGAUAUCUUCUUUA
Molecule: ribosomal RNA, 388 nt
Filed under: Ventrifissura sp.
Lineage: Eukaryota; Cercozoa; Thecofilosea; Ventricleftida; Ventrifissuridae
Description: partial small subunit ribosomal RNA
Rfam family: Eukaryotic small subunit ribosomal RNA
Source: RNAcentral